GUCGAACGCUGGCGGCGUGCUUAACACAUGCAAGUCGAACGGAAAGGCCCUGCUUUUGUGGGGUGCUCGAGUGGCGAACGGGUGAGUAACACGUGAGUAACCUGCCCUUGACUUUGGGAUAACUUCAGGAAACUGGGGCUAAUACCGGAUAGGAGCCCCUGCUGCAUGGUGGGGGUUGGAAAGUUUCGGCGGUUGGGGAUGGACUCGCGGCUUAUCAGCUUGUUGGUGGGGUAGUGGCUUACCAAGGCUUUGACGGGUAGCCGGCCUGAGAGGGUGACCGGCCACAUUGGGACUGAGAUACGGCCCAGACUCCUACGGGAGGCAGCAGUGGGGAAUAUUGCACAAUGGGCGGAAGCCUGAUGCAGCAACGCCGCGUGCGGGAUGACGGCCUUCGGGUUGUAAACCGCUUUCGCCUGUGACGAAGCGUGAGUGACGGUAAUGGGUAAAGAAGCACCGGCUAACUACGUG
Molecule: ribosomal RNA, 468 nt
Filed under: uncultured bacterium
Lineage: Bacteria
Description: partial 16S ribosomal RNA
Rfam family: Bacterial small subunit ribosomal RNA
Source: RNAcentral